UUUUUCGGUACGAGAUGAGCCCGCGGCCUAUCAGCUUGUUGGUGGGGUAAUGGCCUACCAAGGCGUCGACGGGUAGCCGGCCUGAGAGGGUGGACGGCCACAUUGGGACUGAGAUACGGCCCAGACUCCUACGGGAGGCAGCAGUGGGGAAUAUUGCACAAUGGGCGCAAGCCUGAUGCAGCGACGCCGCGUGGGGGAUGACGGCCUUCGGGUUGUAAACCUCUUUCGCUAGGGACGAAGCUUUUGUGACGGUACCUAGAUAAGAAGCACCGGCUAACUACGUGCCAGCAGCCGCGGUAAUACGUAGGGUGCGAGCGUUGUCCGGAAUUACUGGGCGUAAAGAGCUCGUAGGUGGUUUGUCGCGUCGUCUGUGAAAUUCCGGGGCUUAACUUCGGGCGUGCAGGCGAUACGGGCAUAACUUGAGUGCUGUAGGGGAGACUGGAAUUCCUGGUGUAGCGGUGGAAUGCGCAGAUAUCAGGAGGAACACCGAUGGCGAAGGCAGGUCUCUGGGCAGUAACUGACGCUGAGGAGCGAAAGCAUGGGGAGCGAACAGGAUUAGAUACCCUGGUAGUCCAUGCCGUAAACGGUGGGCGCUAGGUGUGAGGGUCUUCCACGACUUUCGUGCCGUAGCUAACGCAUUAAGCGCCCCGCCUGGGGAGUACGGCCGCAAGGCUAAAACUCAAAGGAAUUGACGGGGGCCCGCACAAGCGGCGGAGCAUGUGGAUUAAUUCGAUGCAACGCGAAGAACCUUACCUGGGCUUGACAUAUGCAGGAUCGGCGUAGUGAUACGUUUUCCCUUGUGGUCUGUAUACAGGUGGUGCAUGGUUGUCGUCAGCUCGUGUCGUGAGAUGUUGGGUUAAGUCCCGCAACGAGCGCAACCCUUGUCUUAUGUUGCCAGCACGUGAUGGUGGGGACUCAUGAGAGACUGCCGGGGUUAACUCGGAGGAAGGUGGGGAUGACGUCAAAUCAUCAUGCCCCUUAUGUCCAGGGCUUCACACAUGCUACAAUGGUCGGUACAACGCGCUGCGAGCCUGUGAGGGUGAGCGAAUCGCUGAAAGCCGGCCUCAGUUCGGAUUGGGGUCUGCAACUCGACCCCAUGAAGUCGGAGUCGCUAGUAAUCGCAGAUCAGCAACGCUGCGGUGAAUACGUUCCCGGGCCUUGUACACACCGCCCGUCACGUCAUGAAAGUUGGUAACACCCGAAGCCAGUGGCCUAACCCUUGUGGGGGGAGCUGUCGAAGGUGGGAUCGGCGAUUGGGACGAAGUCGUAACAAGGUAGCCGUACCGGAAGGUGCGGCUGGAUCACCUCCUUUCUAAGGAG
RNAcentral lists this ribosomal RNA (1320 nucleotides) under Corynebacterium diphtheriae. RNAcentral's name for it is "bacterial SSU rRNA". It matches the Rfam family "Bacterial small subunit ribosomal RNA", at positions 211 to 1533 of the family's 1533-position model. Lineage: Bacteria; Bacillati; Actinomycetota; Actinomycetes; Mycobacteriales; Corynebacteriaceae. The record is from RNAcentral.